UUACUCGCAGUAACAUUUUUGUUGUCAAGCUUAAUGAUUAGCAUAAUUAGUAUUUUAUGAUUGCAAUAUAACAUUCUUGCACGAAUCUGCGAGAUUUGGGUUUGUUUGUGAUUGCACGAAGAAAAAAUUCACGCGAUUAAAUCACGGAUACAUAGCCACACGAGGCAGACAGAGUGGGAUCGGUGCGAGUCACGCGACUGCAGGCCGUCGAUCGUGACUUUCACCGGGACCGGUUCGUAGUUUACCUGCCCACAAUGCCAGUCACUGAAGUACAUAUAAAACUAUUUGUGAUAGGGUGGAAAUUUCCGCAGGUUAAUUACCUGUAGUAACCGUCUGAUACGUCGAUUAACAGAUAGCCAAGUAUCAAUUACUCGCGAAACUACGAGUAUCAGUAACCGAAUUGAAGUUUUAUCUUUUCAAUCUACUUCUUAUAUACAAAGUUGCAUCUUAUGUAUCUCCAAGAAGGAAACACUAUACAAUCACUAAUAUUUGAUGUGACAACAAGUGAUGAUAGUUACGUAUUGACCUGACCAGCGCAAUGUUAUUUCGGCAGGAAAGAACGGCAGAGAACCAAAGAUAUGGGAUCAGUGGAGCAACUGGUCCGGAUGCAGCGUCACUUGUGGAAUAGGGACGAUUAUGAGAUGGAGGCAUUGCAUAGGAGGAAGUUGUUUCCUGGGAGAGAAGAAAGCUCAAUUAAAAACCUGCACCUCCGCCGCGUGUUAAAGUGCUUUUACGCGUAAUCUUAACAAUCGAAAUAUGAGAGGACCUUACUUAGGACCUGACUUAGGAAUUGCAGUGAGAUAUCCGAAUGAUCGUUUCGCAAUAUUUCUGCAAUUCAUAAAUCUAACAAGAUGAUAUCAUUCAGCUGAUGAUUGAAAAAAGAGUGAGUAAAAAAUAAAAAAUUGUUAACUGAAUAAAUGUUGCUAAUCACUGUAGUGUUUAACAAAUGUGCAAAAUGUGAGCAUAAAUAUCUAUCUGUCCUUUCUUCUUUAAAGAUAUAGCUAGAUAUAACUAAUCUAUCGGGGUUUACAGAGAAUUUUCCAAGAGUCUAACAGCAGGUACAUUAUAAUCUAUGCCUUCUUUGCUGACUUAUAUUUCAAUCUCUUUUGAAAUAAUCAUCAGAUCUGUAAAUUGGUGGUGAUUUGUAUAUUGGCACGGUACCAGAGGCAAUAGAUUCUUGAACUUUCUU
This is a long non-coding RNA of Odontomachus brunneus, 1189 nucleotides long. RefSeq lists it as uncharacterized. The transcript is spliced from 2 exons. Lineage: Eukaryota; Metazoa; Arthropoda; Insecta; Hymenoptera; Formicidae. The record is from RefSeq and is a predicted model, not a curated record.